This 270-nucleotide non-coding RNA is filed under the name Schistocephalus solidus. RNAcentral describes it as "Eukaryotic large subunit ribosomal RNA". It matches the Rfam family "Eukaryotic large subunit ribosomal RNA", at positions 2637 to 2992 of the family's 3401-position model. Lineage: Eukaryota; Metazoa; Platyhelminthes; Cestoda; Diphyllobothriidea; Diphyllobothriidae. The record is from Rfam by way of RNAcentral.
AAACAGAACCCUAUGGAACACCACUUUCAACGUUCGCCAAUUCCGAGCAAGAGUUUCCGUGUUUCUUGGCGAUCCUUUUCAUCAACCGAUAUCCAGACUUUUAAGCAAAAGGUGUCAGAAAAGUUACCACAGGGAUACAUGGCUAGUGGCAGCCAAACGUUCAUAGGGACGUCGCUUUUUGAUCAUUCGAUGUAGGUUCUUCCUAUAAUGGUGAAGCAUAAUCGGGAACGUGAGCUGUGGUAAGACAGUCGUGAUACAGGUUAGUUUUAC